RNAcentral lists this ribosomal RNA (253 nucleotides) under uncultured bacterium. RNAcentral describes it as "partial 16S ribosomal RNA". It matches the Rfam family "Bacterial small subunit ribosomal RNA", at positions 524 to 776 of the family's 1533-position model. The record is from RNAcentral.
CACGGGGGGAGCAAGCGUUGUUCGGAAUCACUGGGCGUAAAGGGCGUGUAGGCGGCCAGGUAGGUCGGUUGUGAAAACUGGAGGCUCAACCUUCAGAGGUCGACCGAAACCAUCUGGCUAGAGUCCGGGAGAGGAGAGUGGAAUUCCUGGUGUAGCGGUGAAAUGCGCAGAUAUCAGGAAGAACACCCGUGGCGAAAGCGGCUCUCUGGAACGGUACUGACGCUGAGACGCGAAAGCGUGGGGAGCGAACAGG